This 729-nucleotide unclassified non-coding RNA is filed under the name Bombus terrestris (buff-tailed bumblebee). RNAcentral describes it as "misc RNA ENSBTSG00005035260.1". Lineage: Eukaryota; Metazoa; Arthropoda; Insecta; Hymenoptera; Apidae. The record is from RNAcentral.
CUUCUUCAUGGGAAUAAAUACUCAGUAACCGACGAAUUCUUCACAAGACUUAUAAAAACUAAUUUUACACAGAUUCAGUCUUUAGUCUACCGCAGACGACGAAAUACAGAUGUAGCACAAAUAGAUACAUCAUGGCCUGAGUUAUCUCUCUUAGUUAAAAAUUUUUCAGCUAAAAUAUCUGUAUCUAAUUUCAAUUCUCAUUCGUUUUUAUUUAGUUAACUACAUUAAAUUAUGUGUUUAUUAAUUUGCUUUUUACUUUUGUAGAUAGGUCUUCACGGAUGUGUGCGUUGUUUUUUGUAGGUUAUCUCAAGCUUUUAUGUCAUGGAUUUGCAGAAAAGGUUAGGUCAGUCGAUAUUGGCGCCUAUACAACAAUGAUUCAUAUCAUCACGACGUGCGUAUUGACGGUGGACCGAUCACACCUAUGUUAUUGGUACGGCGAAGCUGGGCAUCGCGCUAGUGGCUGUACGGCCUCGAUACCCAAGUCGCCCUCUCUGUGAGUCGCUCGGAGUACCUGCGGCUCACCGGUUGGGAGGAACGGUGUGCUGCCCGACGAAGAAGGGAAACAGGAGGAAGCCAUCAAUUCGUGACUCUGCCGCGAAGAAGAGCAUAGCGGGUCCAGCGUGCACCGAAGGAGGUACCAGAGGAGCGGUAGAUGACCGGGAGGAGUCCAUGGAUUUGGUGCAGUAAAUUCAUACGUCUUCUCCAGACUAAUCUGGGACGGUCGAGACG